AUAAUUUUGGUAUCGUGACAACACUAUUACAGAAGACUGUUAAGAACACUUACCAACUGUUUCCCUACCAGCUCCUCCAACCCAGUAUUGCAAGGAUUCAUUGUGCCGUCACGUUUGGUUAAUCUAUUAUUCGUGCUGGGGUUGGAGGAGCUGAAAAAUAUAAAUUGU
This is a long non-coding RNA of Alosa sapidissima (American shad), 168 nucleotides long. RefSeq lists it as uncharacterized. The record is from RefSeq and is a predicted model, not a curated record. Lineage: Eukaryota; Metazoa; Chordata; Actinopteri; Clupeiformes; Clupeidae. The transcript is spliced from 3 exons.